UGGGGAAUAUUGGACAAUGGGGGGAACCCUGAUCCAGCCAUGCCGCGUGUGUGAAGAAGGCCUUAUGGUUGUAAAGCACUUUAAGCGAGGAGGAGGGUACUGGUAUUAAUACUACCAGGUACUGGACGUUACUCGCAGAAUAAGCACCGGCUAACUCUGUGCCAGCAGCCGCGGUAAUACAGAGGGUGCAAGCGUUAAUCGGAAUUACUGGGCGUAAAGCGCGCGUAGGUGGUUCGUUAAGUUGAAUGUGAAAGCCCCGGGCUCAACCUGGGAAUUGCAUCCAAAACUGGCGAGCUAGAGUAGGGCAGAGGGUGGUGGAAUUUCCUGUGUAGCGGUGAAAUGCGUAGAUAUAGGAAGGAACACCAGUGGCGAAGGCGACCACCUGGGCUCAUACUGACACUGAGGUGCGAAAGCGUGGGGAGCAAACAGG
This 430-nucleotide ribosomal RNA is filed under the name Pseudomonadota bacterium. RNAcentral describes it as "Proteobacteria bacterium partial 16S ribosomal RNA". It matches the Rfam family "Bacterial small subunit ribosomal RNA", at positions 355 to 776 of the family's 1533-position model. The record is from RNAcentral. Lineage: Bacteria; Pseudomonadati; Pseudomonadota.